GCAGUGAGCGCAGAUCACGCCACUGCACUCCAGACUGGGUGACAGAGCAACACUCUGUCUCAAAACAAAACAAAACAAAACAAAACAAAACAAAACAAAAACAGUAGAUUAGUGAUUGCUAGGAAUGCGUCAGUCUCUGUACAGAUGAAGAACCUGAGGCUCAGAGAAGCCAAUUACCACCGUGCCCACCCAUCUGUGUGACUUUGGACCAGUGACUUCACUUCUCUGAGCUGUGACGUGGAGAGAAUGACGUGUGCCUGAGAGGGUGGCUGUGCAGCUCGGUGAAUGUGCCUGUCGUGCCUGGUGGGUCCUCCUGCAUCUUCAUCUUCGUUAGUUGCUUUCCCUUCUCUCAGACCUUUGGCUGGAAGCUGGUGGAGCUGAAAGGUGAAGGCUGCCACCUAGAGGUGAACUCCGGCACCUGCCAAAGCAUGUGAGUCGUCUUCUCAUCGACAAGAGAAGGGAUUUCAUCAUGUUGCCCAGACUAGUCUUGAACUCCUGGAAUCAAGUGAUCUGCCUCGACCUCCAAGGCACUGGGAUUACACAGGUUUCAGACUCAUAACAAAUGACUCAGACAGCGAAGGAAGAACAUCUGCUUUCCUGGGUGGAUCCAGGGUAGGGGUCCCCAGGAAGCCUACCGCCUCCCUACCCUGGCCACCCUAAGCCCAGGCUCCCUUUGACAAGACUGGCCCAGUGAGAGUUUCUGCCUGCAGCAUCGGGCACAAAGUAGAAGCAGGGUGGCAGUGAGGAGAGGAGGCGUCCCCCAAUGGAAGGACAGCUCCACAGCUGAGAAAGUGGAGGUUGUGGGGGGUGGCGAGGGGGUGCCGGGGGCACCUAUGAUCAUCCCCCAGGCACGGCAGGAGGUGAAUAUAUGAGUUCAAGGGACUUCAGGUAACUCCUCCCUCCUUAUCUGGUUUGUUAAAGACAACCCGCAAGUCCUGGUCUCAAGGUGUCUCACUACCCUGAUCCCGACUGCCCACCGACCCUACCCAAAGACGGACGCACUAACCUUGGCCUCUGACACUGCCUACAGACGGACCCCCACAACCUGACUACCCACAUUUAUCUCUAAAGCCUGCCCCAGGCUGGCGAAACCCCAAAUCCUGCCACGC
Molecule: long non-coding RNA, 1109 nt
Organism: Piliocolobus tephrosceles (Ugandan red Colobus)
Lineage: Eukaryota; Metazoa; Chordata; Mammalia; Primates; Cercopithecidae
Exons: 3
Source: RefSeq, a predicted model, not a curated record